GUUUCUGUAGUGUAGUGGUUAUCAAGUUUGUUCACACGAGAAAGGUCCCUGGUUCGAAACCUGGCGGAAACA
RNAcentral lists this transfer RNA (72 nucleotides) under Salmo salar (Atlantic salmon). It matches the Rfam family "tRNA". Rfam says of the family: Transfer RNA (tRNA) molecules are approximately 80 nucleotides in length. Lineage: Eukaryota; Metazoa; Chordata; Actinopteri; Salmoniformes; Salmonidae. The record is from Rfam by way of RNAcentral.